UUUGUUUUGUUUUGUUUUUAAAAAUGGCAAUUCUGCCAACUAGUUUCUCCUUCGCUUACUCCUUCAAAUUUAAGGUUUACAGGUUAAGGUCGCAUCUGUAACACCCUAUCCAGAUUUUUGAGUGAAAAGGUGUUAAAGAGAAAUUGUGUCCCAGAAUAUGACAAUACAAAGAGCCAAGAUUAUUUGCCUUUCACAGUGUCCCUCCUGCACUCACUUCACUUCCCUUACCACAGAUGAUUUGUUUCAAGAGCCGUUGAGAUGCUGUGACCAAGCUGCAAUAUUCUGAAGCUAAUUAAUCUGCAGCACAUUUGUGAAAAGCAACUGCAUCUCAUUAUAGAUAUAUAUAUAUAUAUUGCUGUAGAGAAAGAGAAGCUUAAUCUUUCUAAUAUCUUGUGUUAUGGGGUUUAUUACACAGCUUCUGGCAUGCUAAUUUUUCAUGUUUUUGACUAUUUCUCUGAUGACUGAAAAACAUUCUUACUGAGAUGCUCAGGUGAGUUCAUUACUCUGUUUUAAGCUAUUUGGAUUAUGAAUGCCUGUGUAACCAAGACAAACAUGCCCGUGUGAGAUCUGGGUCAGAACAAGAGCACAUGGCACUGCCUUGUGCCCUGACACAGUGUCCCUGCAGGCUCACAGAGGGCUUACCAUCUACUCUGAAGUCCCACAGGUAAUAGCAACCGAGAGAGAGGUGGAACAUUGGUAAUGCAGAUUAUGUGACUGAGUUAAAUAUUAAGACAACAUCACAAGUUACUCUAAUAUAAGACAACCAGGCAUUUGUGACUGUUUUAACACCAGAGCAGGUGUUAAAAAUCUAGGAUUACAGAAUACUAAAAUGCAAUUGAGUUACAUACCAUUAAUCACGUUGAUAAUAAAUUCUCCUUCCCAUAUUCUCUUCUCCGUGUAUUACUGUUUUUCCAGUGGUAGGCAUUUAUAGCUACUGAAUAGAGUUCUAUUCAGAUGAAGUAAAUCUUUUUGUUUGUUUUGUUUUUUAAAGUGGGAGUCUACAGUUCAGUUCUGGAAUUUUUUUUUUUUUUUAGUGUUGACAUUUCAGUUAUACUAUGGAAGACACAAAAUACAAUUCUUCAAUCUAAACAAAGCCUCGAUAACUCAGAUUUUAUGUUUGCCUUAACCUUGUCUUAUUUUAAAGAGGUUUUAUGAGUUAGCUAUGCUACCUAUGGUACUCUUUAAAAUAUACAUAUAUUAAGAAUACCGUAAAAAAAUUUUGGUAGAGUUUGAGAAGCGACUGCUACACAUGCAUAUACUUACAGCUGUCUGCAUGCAUGACUAUCAGUGAACAAUAUUUGUGUUUCAUUUGUGGCCUGUUCUUUGCUGAUUAUUUCUCUCUCCAUUUACAUUAUUUCAGUUACCAAUUAAAGGCACGUUACAAUACCAUAUGAUAGAAAUUUUUGCAGAUCAUAAAUAUUCAUUAUGAGAAGUUGCAUACAGAACUUUCACCUAAAAACUACUCAACCAAUUUAGUAACUAAUUAUAAAUAAUUAAUACUUUCAUGGAAAUUAACACACAAAUCAUACACAGAAAAGGCCAGUUCUAACCAUAACAUAUUCGCAAGGAGUACAAUACACAUCUCCAAACCAUAUACUUUUUUGCCCCAAAUAUAAUUUCCCAAGAUAGCUGGGUUUUUUGUUUUCCCCCCUUAAGCUAUUUUUGUUUUGCUAUCAGUAAUUGCAGUAUUCACACUACAUAGCAGAAAAUAGCUAAUUUAGGGGAAUGAAUCACCAAACAAUUUUACAGCUUGUCAAUAUAAUAUCAAUACUGAUAAUUGCUAUUGUUUAUGUCAUUAACAACCCAUUCAGAUGGAGCUGCUUAACAAGGACACGUUAUCAGGUGUGAUAUGUGGCCAUGACACACUCAUUCUGGAUUCCAGAAGGGCUGCAGACUUCAAGGGACAUCUCUUCUUCCUGGCUUAUCAAGCUGAGCUGUUGAAACCUUGACACUUCCAAUUUACAGAGAUAUAUGCAAACCUUUUCUUUGGCAUAGAUUCAAGUCUCCUGAAUUUCACUGUGAGCUUUAGGUUUGAAUUAGUCUGAACUCCACAGUAAUACUCAGCCAAAAUUGUUAAUUUGUGCCAAAUUCACAGAGCUUUGAAUUGUUUCCAUCUCUUGUUAAAUCAGUGCUGUACAGCUGGCUUAAAAAUUGGCUCCAGUUUGGCAGUAAACUCUCAAAUUAAAUCCGAUUCAAUUCUGUACCCUCAGUAAACCAUGCAAACCCACAUUGGGAACAUGAAGAACUACUUGGGAGGAGCAACCCCAGGCUUGAUGAGAAGAGCACACAGUCCCAAGGACCAAACACCUCUUUCCAGCUUGCUCUCAAGUGUCUUGCUGGAUGCCACAUGGGCUCUAGGCCGUGACUGAUGUAUGAGGACUGUUCCAGAAGUAAUGCUUACUAUUACAUUACGUUGGCCCACAACAACAGAUGCGGAUGUUGGUGGUAUGGCAUUAGAGGUCAAACCUUCCCAUCAACUGUGAAGCGUAACCUUCUGCUACAUUUUGUUGCCAUAUGACAGAUUGCAACAGAGGGACAGCCUAACAAAAUGGCAUCUGACAUGGAUAUGAAUAUGGAACAAAAGCUGUGGAACUGAAUUCCUUCACACACACA
Gallus gallus (chicken) is the source of this 2613-nucleotide long non-coding RNA. RefSeq lists it as uncharacterized. The record is from RefSeq and is a predicted model, not a curated record. The transcript is spliced from 2 exons. NCBI's taxonomy places the organism in Eukaryota, Metazoa, Chordata, Aves, Galliformes, Phasianidae.